CUACGGGGUGCUGCAGUGGGGAAUUUUGCGCAAUGGGGGAAACCCUGACGCAGCAAUACCGCGUGAGUGAAGAAGGCCUUUGGGUCGUAAAGCUCUUUUCUUGGGGAAGAUAGUGACGGUACCCAAGGAAUAAGCACCGGCUAACUCCGUGCCAGCAGCCGCGGUAAUACGGAGGGUGCAAGCGUUGUUCGGAUUUACUGGGCGUAAAGGGCACGUAGGCGGCACAGCAAGUUAAGGGUGAAAUCCCGGGGCUCAACUCCGGAACUGCUCUUAAAACUGCUGAGCUAGAGAUAGGCAGAGGCGGGUGGAAUUCCAGGUGUAGAGGUGAAAUUCGUAGAUAUCUGGAGGAGCACCGGUGGCGAAGGCGGCCCGCUGGGGCUAUUCUGACGCUAAGGUGCGAAAGCGUGGGGAGCAAACGGGAUUAGAUACCCCCGUAGUC
This 439-nucleotide ribosomal RNA is filed under the name uncultured bacterium. RNAcentral's name for it is "partial 16S ribosomal RNA". It matches the Rfam family "Bacterial small subunit ribosomal RNA", at positions 339 to 795 of the family's 1533-position model. The record is from RNAcentral.